AUGGACCACUCGUACACUUUGGCGCCGAGCGCGCUGCCCAUCCAUCUGACCUCUGCUCGCCACGUUUUUUAGCC
This 74-nucleotide small RNA is filed under the name Xanthomonas dyei. Its description in RNAcentral is "sX9 sRNA". It matches the Rfam family "Xanthomonas sRNA sX9". The record is from RNAcentral. Lineage: Bacteria; Pseudomonadati; Pseudomonadota; Gammaproteobacteria; Lysobacterales; Lysobacteraceae.